RNAcentral lists this ribosomal RNA (245 nucleotides) under uncultured bacterium. RNAcentral describes it as "partial 16S ribosomal RNA". It matches the Rfam family "Bacterial small subunit ribosomal RNA", at positions 15 to 248 of the family's 1533-position model. The record is from RNAcentral.
GAUCAUGGCUCAGGACGAACGCUGGCGGCGUGCCUAACACAUGCAAGUCGAGCGGAGAACAGGGAAGUGCUUGCACGGAACUGUUUUUAGCGGCGGACGGGUGAGUAACGCGUGAACAAGCUGUCCUUCACAGGGGGAGUAACACUUGGAAACAGGUGCUAAUACCGCAUAAGACCACAGGGGUGCAUGCUCCAGGGGUCAAAGGAGCAAUCCGGUGAAGGGUGCGUUCGCGUCCCAUUAGAUAG